CGAAAGGCUCAGUACAUCAGUUAUAGUUUAUUCGAUUGUGAAAUCCACAUGGAUAACCGUGGAAAAUCUAGAGCUAAUACAUGCGAAAAAAUCUUUCAAGGUGAGCAAUCAUCUUGAAGGUGAUGCAUUUAUUAGAUUAAACCAAUCAUUGUAUCAGUAGUUUACUCUAUUGAUGCAUUGUUGUGGUGAGUCUGGAUAACUGUGCCGAUCGUAUGGCCUAGAGCCGGCGACAUUUCGAUUAAAUUUCUGCCCUAUCAACUUGUUGGUAAGGUAGUGGCUUACCAAGGUGAUAACGGGUAACGGGGAAUCAGGGUUCGAUUCCGGAGAGGGAGCCUGAGAAACGGCUACCACAUCCAAGGACGGCAGCAGGCGCGCAAAUUACCCAAUCCAGACACUGGGAGGUGGUGACGAGAAAUACCAGGUCGUUCCCAAAAGGAUUCGACACUGGAAUGAGUGCAAUUUAAAAAUUUCAACGAGUAACAACUGGAGGGCAAGUCUGGUGCCAGCAGCCGCGGUAAUUCCAGCUCCAGUAGUGUAUCCAAACGUUGCUGCGGUUAAAACGCUCGUAGUUGGACAAGAGAGUAGCUUGGUGCGGGCGGGGAGUGUAAUUGCUCUGUGUGAUCACUUGUUAAGGAAGUUGUGCUUGUCUUUCGAAAGUUAGCAAGUUACUAUUGACUUUUCAUGCUGUAGCACAGUAGUAGCAUUUGUCGACCAUGCUGCCAGGCUACUUGUAAUGUUUCGUGAGAAUGGUACAUGGUCUUCAUUGUACUGUGUAUUAUGUCUUACGUAGUGUGCCUUGAAUAAAUCAGAGUGCUCAAAGCAAGCUAUCGCUUGAAUGUUAAUAGCAUGGAACGAAUGUAUAGUGUAAGUGCGCUGAUAAGCAUCAUUCGUGGUGUUUGUUAGUACACAGCACCAACCGCGAAGCGGAACAUUGGUUACCGACUUCGGGUGAGGAUUAAGAGGGGCAUUUGGGGGCAUUAGUAUUUGGCCGCGAGAGGUGAAAUUCUUGGACCGGCCAAGGACUAACAAGUGCGAAAGCAUUUGCCAAGUAUGUUCCCUUUAAUCAAGAACGAAAGUGAGAGGUUCGAAGACGAUCAGAUACCGUCCUAGUUCUCACCGUAAACGAUGCCAACCCGGGAUCAGUUCGGAUGAUUUUAUUUGGAUCCAGGUUGGUCCCCCUGGGAAACCUUGAGUUUUUAGGUUCCGGGGGGAGUAUGGUUGCAAGGCUGAAACUUAAAGGAAUUGACGGAAGGGCACCACCAGGGGUGGAGCCUGCGGCUUAAUUUGACUCAACACGGGAAAACUCACCUGGUCCGGACAUCGAUAGGAUUGACAGACUAAUAGAUCUUUCAUGAUACGGUGGGUGGUGGUGCAUGGCCGUUCUUAGUUCGUGGAGUGAUCUGUCAGGUUGAUUCCGGUAACGAACGAGACCAUUAUCUUCAUUUGGGGAACUAUAAGACUUGUGGUUUAAAUCGUUGUUGAGUAUUGGUGAUGAACUUUCGUUUUGAAUUGAUGCUCGACAAUGGUAGAUGCCAUUUGUUCUUUUAGUGUGCGUACAGAAAUGUAUGUCCCUAUGGAGAGACAGCCGGAUUAUAAGCCGGAGGAAGCGUGGCAAUAACAGGUCUGUGAUGCCCUUCGAUGUUCAGGGCCGCACGCGCGCUACAAUGAUAACGACAGCGAGAGUCUGGACUGAAAAGUUCUGGGUAAUCUUAUGAAUCGUUAUCGUGAUGGGGAUUGAGCAUUGUAAUUGUUGCUCAUGAAAUAGGAAUCCCUUGUAUACGUGUCUCACUUAGGACACGUAGAAUGCGUCUCUGCCCUUUGUACACACCGCCCGUCGCUACUACCGAGUGAAUGGUGUCAUGAUGUCUUGGGACUGGACGUUGUUGGCAGUGAAAGCUGCGGACGAUGC
Molecule: ribosomal RNA, 1909 nt
Filed under: Myxidium phyllium
Lineage: Eukaryota; Metazoa; Cnidaria; Myxozoa; Bivalvulida; Myxidiidae
Description: SSU rRNA
Rfam family: Eukaryotic small subunit ribosomal RNA
Source: RNAcentral